This 253-nucleotide ribosomal RNA is filed under the name uncultured bacterium. RNAcentral's name for it is "partial 16S ribosomal RNA". It matches the Rfam family "Bacterial small subunit ribosomal RNA", at positions 524 to 776 of the family's 1533-position model. The record is from RNAcentral.
UACGUAGGGGGCAAGCGUUGUCCGGAUUUAUUGGGCGUAAAGAGCGUGUAGGCGGCCAUACAGGUCAGCUGUGAAAACUCGAGGCUCAACCUCGAGACGUCGGUUGAAACCGUAUGGCUAGAGUCCGGAAGAGGAGAGUGGAAUUCCCGGUGUAGCGGUGAAAUGCGCAGAUAUCGGGAAGAACACCUAUGGCGAAGGCAGCUCUCUGGGCUGAUACUGACGCUCAUGCACGAAAGCGUGGGGAGCAAACAGG